AGUAUUUGUGCGAGAUGUUCAUAGAUGGCGUGCAGAAUUUCUUGACCGACAUGUAGUAUUUGUGCGAGAUGGUCAUAGGUGGCAUGCUGAAUUUCUUGAGCGACUUGUAGUAUUUGUGCGAGAUGUUCAUAGGUGGCGUGCUGAAUCUUGAGCGACUUGUAGUAUUUCUGGGAGAUGUUCAUACGUGGCGUGCUGAAUUUCUUGAGCGACUUGUAGUAUUUGUAGGAGAUGUUCAUAGGUGGCGUGCU
Molecule: long non-coding RNA, 248 nt
Organism: Dreissena polymorpha
Lineage: Eukaryota; Metazoa; Mollusca; Bivalvia; Myida; Dreissenidae
Exons: 3
Source: RefSeq, a predicted model, not a curated record